Molecule: unclassified non-coding RNA, 369 nt
Filed under: fungal sp.
Lineage: Eukaryota; Fungi
Description: partial internal transcribed spacer region
Source: RNAcentral
AAGUCGUAACAUGCGUAUCCAACGUUAAACCCCCCGUGCACACAGCGACCUGCUCCCCUCAAGUAAAUCAUCGCCGAACAGUUUUGAUUCAGGACAUCCAAAGGGUCGGGGUAGGGUAUUAAAGUAGUAGUCAAUGCAAAGCAAGAAAGUGUGAUGUGAGCCGGAGAACGGACCGAGUGGUAGUUCAAAGGUGCCUUCUGUCGCGCACUGUGGAAAGGAAGACGCUUUACGAAUCACUGUCCAACACGGUCAGUGACCGGUUCCUGCCUAGACCCCAUAUGCACCACCACAGUCGCAGACGAGGUAGGAAUACGUCCCUACCACCAAUGGAUACUUGAACAACUGUUAACAAUGGAUAUCUUGGUUCUC